UCAUUUUUACAGUGCCUUAAGACUCACCAG
This 30-nucleotide non-coding RNA is filed under the name Mus musculus (house mouse). Lineage: Eukaryota; Metazoa; Chordata; Mammalia; Rodentia; Muridae. The record is from RNAcentral.